UCGGGAAUUUUGGGCAAUGGGGGAAACCCUGACCCAGCAACGCCGCGUGAAGGAUGAAGUAUUUCGGUAUGUAAACUUCGAAAGAAUAGGAAGAAUAAAUGACGGUACUAUUUAUAAGGUCCGGCUAACUACGUGCCAGCAGCCGCGGUAAUACGUAGGGACCAAGCGUUGUUCGGAUUUACUGGACGUAAAGGGCGCGUAGGCGGCAAUUCAAGUCAUCUGUGAAAUCUCCGGGCUUAACUCGGAACGGUCAGAUGAUACUGCUUUGCUAGAGUGCAGAAGGGGCAAUCGGAAUUCUUGGUGUAGCGGUGAAAUGCGUAGAUAUCAAGAGGAACACCUGAGGUGAAGACGGGUUGCUGGGCUGACACUGACGCUGAGGCGCGAAAGCCAGGGGAGCAAACGGGAUUAGAUACCCAGGUAGUCCCUGAGCGGGCUGGCAAGGCGCAU
Molecule: ribosomal RNA, 447 nt
Filed under: uncultured bacterium
Lineage: Bacteria
Description: bacterial SSU rRNA
Rfam family: Bacterial small subunit ribosomal RNA
Source: RNAcentral